RNAcentral lists this ribosomal RNA (467 nucleotides) under uncultured bacterium. Its description in RNAcentral is "partial 16S ribosomal RNA". It matches the Rfam family "Bacterial small subunit ribosomal RNA", at positions 28 to 506 of the family's 1533-position model. The record is from RNAcentral.
GACGAACGCUGGCGGCGUGCUUAACACAUGCAAGUCGAACGGAAAGGCCCUGCUUUUGUGGGGUGCUCGAGUGGCGAACGGGUGAGUAACACGUGAGUAACCUGCCCUUGACUUUGGGAUAACUUCAGGAAACUGGGGCUAAUACCGGAUAGGAGCUCCUGCUGCAUGGUGGGGGUUGGAAAGUUUCGGCGGUUGGGGAUGGACUCGCGGCUUAUCAGCUUGUUGGUGGGGUAGUGGCUUACCAAGGCUUUGACGGGUAGCCGGCCUGAGAGGGUGACCGGCCACAUUGGGACUGAGAUACGGCCCAGACUCCUACGGGAGGCAGCAGUGGGGAAUAUUGCACAAUGGGCGGAAGCCGGAUGCAGCAACGCCGCGUGCGGGAUGACGGCCUUCGGGUUGGAAACCGCUUUCGCCUGUGACGAAGCGUGAGUGACGGUAAUGGGUAAAGAAGCACCGGCUAACUACGU